UUUUGUUUAUCGGGGAAAAGACCUCUUUUUAGGAUGUUAUUGACCUAUAUAUAGAUUGCCACUUGAUCAGUUAUUGCUCUACACGAUCGACCACUAUCUCCUAAAAUCCCGGACCACCUCCAGCCGAUCGGAACCGCAUACAACUGCUUGCGGUUACUGUAACUUCCUUCAAUUGGCGCGAUGGUUUUCUUUAAAACUCUUCCGGUGCUCCUGGUGCACGGCCAGAUUAAUGCCUUUCAAGGGAAUACCGGCAUACCACCUAUCCGCGCCUAAUUGGCUCAACAAUUGCCCUCUCGGUAGCUUUCAAAGUAUUUGGUAGCUGGCGUGAACCGAGGCGCGAUUACUUUUCAACUUCCUGGUACGGUUUCGUCUCAAACGUCCACUUUUCUACUGCCGAAAUCCCGCCAUCGCUUUAAUAACAAGUGAGAUCCAAGGGCGUGGUUCUCGGUCCAAUUAAAUUCAAAUUCUCUGUACGAGUCACUGAUGUAAUCUGAGACGUGAUCCUUUGCACGAUUCAAACUUGGCUGUCCAUUUUUAUUUUUACGGCCCCAAUCUCGCCUUCUACUUUUGUCUUAUCCGCGGCAUUAAUUAGGACAUCUUAAUUACAGCCGUCUAUUCAUCAUUAUAGCUGCUCUCGGAACUCGCUUCGAUGCGACGGUUCAACACGACAGCCUUUUCUUCUUCUCCAAGCUUCUCAUUUCUUUUGUUUUUUCUGUUCCUUUUUUGUUUAUUCCUCGUCUUCUCCGACGAAACCUCUCCUUCGCUUCUCUUUACUUCUUCUUCGUCUUCUCUGAUUUUUUUUUAAUCUUCAUCUUUCAUUCAUAGCUUCUACUCAUUUCAUAGUUUCUUUUCGCUUCGAGUAAUGGCGCCGCUCCCGCCUUUACCUACUCGUCCUUCGCUGGAUUAUACCUUGCUUAAAUCGUAUCUCGAAACGGACCCUACUAGAUUCAUUUUGGGUCCCUCUUUUACUGAAAACCUGCCUACUGAUGACUUCCCUUAUUCUGACGACGGUCUUCCAUUAGUGGCCAAAUCCAUACAUCUCCAUUCCUGGUACCCUUCAGCUUCAACAGGAAAAAGUCUGCGAACUUGGCCUAGUGUUUCGGAUACUUAUUUGGCUUGGUCAGAUCGAGUGGAAGCCGCCUAUGGUGAUUUCUGGUGGGACAUUGGGGUCUAUGAAGCUAUUCGGUUGUCUUGGAAACCUCCGGUAGCCGACAACCUUCUUUUGGCUUCUGCUCUCUGUUUCUGAUCUCCUGUUUGCAAUGUUUUUCUUUUUAAAGGGGGAUCUCUUACUCCGACUCUUUUAGAUGUAGCAGCUAUCAUUGGUCUACGGCCUCAUGGUGUUACUCUCUCCAUGGCCUACAAUCCUGAUGGUGUAACCGAUUUUGAGGCCCAUCUUGACCCCACUGAUUUAGCCUACUCCUUAAAUUUGCAGGUGAAUCCCCUGCCCCUGUCACUAAGAAAGAACACACAGCAUUCCUUCUAUAUUGGUUAUGUCAUAACCUCUUCUGCACUCGUUCGCAGAAGAUUAAUCGAGAUUUUGUCCCCAUCGCCGUCGAUUUGUCUAACAGCGAUAAAUUAGCUCUUGGGCCUUACUUUCUUGCUUUUGUCUAUAGAGAAAAUUUUGAUUCUCUCGAACCACUACCCUCUGGAGACGAGGUAACAAUCAGUUCGGGUUGUUGUGUUUUCUGGUUUUUACAAAUGUUUUUGCAGAUUUACUUCCCUAAUUUGUGCCGAACUCCUUUGAAUAAAGAUUCGGCUGCUUAUUUUGAUUCUUAUGGGCUGGUUCUCGCCCGUCCUCCGCCGUUAACAUCAGGCCGUCUUUCUGACUUUAUCUCUUAUUUUAAAAUGUUUUACGAAUCUCGUCCUCAUUUCUCCAUUCAUUGAUCUCCAUUUGCUGACCGUGUCACCGGUCCGUCUUGGUUCUUAGCAAGAUACGAAGCUCUUCAAGGCGAACUUGCUUUUUCUCGCGUCGGCCAGUAUGCCGAUGUUUGGUACUCUUUUUUGGCACCAAGGGAUUUGCACAGUGGAAUGAAAUCGCGCUCGAAAUUGUUGCUUAGUACUGAGGUUUAUUCUCCUCAGCUCGUAGCGCGUUAAUUUGGAUUUACCCAAGCAGUCCCUGCUCCAGCCAAGUUCUUCACGGCCAAUACUGCUGUUGACCGACCCCCUACCAAGAGUAUAGCCGAUGCUGAUCGGAUCUCGGCUAUGGAAAAUCGCCUUCGGCGGUUCUUCAAAUUAGUAAGCUUCAGGCUGAAUUACACAGGGGUGGUAGGCUUUCGAUAUACCGUCACCUGGGAUCACUUUGCCGAUCGUAUUUUCAAUCGAUCAGCAUUACAAGCGUUCCGUCAGACUAUUCUCCCACUCGGUACACCUCUUUUGCUUAUAGUCAUUCUUCUUUCAUUUUAAAAUCUAUUAAAUUUUAUUUGUCUCUAGAUACAACGGUACCUAUUCCAAUUGAUCUCGCUGCUUCAUUUGUACCAAAAGAAGAACAAGAAGAGACCUCUAAUAUUCCAACUCCUUCUUCUGUAAUACACUCUGCUUUUCUUUGGACUUUUCUUUUCUUACUAUACCCAACACUUAUUUUGCCUUUAUCUUUUUGCCUACAGUCAAUUCCAGUUUCUCCAUCGGUACCCGCUUCAGA
This 2638-nucleotide long non-coding RNA is filed under the name Ananas comosus (pineapple). Its description in RNAcentral is "long non-coding RNA (ACOM_LNC005591)". The record is from RNAcentral. Lineage: Eukaryota; Viridiplantae; Streptophyta; Magnoliopsida; Poales; Bromeliaceae.